GACGAACGCUGGCGGCGUGCUUAACACAUGCAAGUCGAACGGAAAGGCCCUGCUUUUGUGGGGUGCUCGAGUGGCGAACGGGUGAGUAACACGUGAGUAACCUGCCCUUGACUUUGGGAUAACUUCAGGAAACUGGGGCUAAUACCGGAUAGGAGCUCCUGCUGCAUGGUGGGGGUUGGAAAGUUUCGGCGGUUGGGGAUGGACUCGCGGCUUAUCAGCUUGUUGGUGGGGUAGUGGCUUACCAAGGCUUUGACGGGUAGCCGGCCUGAGAGGGUGACCGGCCACAUUGGGACUGCGAUACGGCCCAGACUCCUACGGGAGGCAGCAGUGGGGAAUAUUGCACAAUGGGCGGAAGCCUGAUGGAGCAACGCCGCGUGCGGGAUGACGGCCUUCGGGUUGUAAACCGCUUUCGCCUGUGACGAAGCGUGAGUGACGGUAAUGGGUAAAGAAGCACCGGCUAACUACGUG
RNAcentral lists this ribosomal RNA (468 nucleotides) under uncultured bacterium. RNAcentral describes it as "partial 16S ribosomal RNA". It matches the Rfam family "Bacterial small subunit ribosomal RNA", at positions 28 to 507 of the family's 1533-position model. The record is from RNAcentral.